Molecule: long non-coding RNA, 1463 nt
Filed under: Triticum aestivum (bread wheat)
Lineage: Eukaryota; Viridiplantae; Streptophyta; Magnoliopsida; Poales; Poaceae
Description: long non-coding RNA (TAES_LNC015155)
Source: RNAcentral
GUUAGCAUAAUCUUGAUUGUUAGGUUUGGAUAGUAGUGUUUGUGUUAGACUAAGUAUUAGACGUGUAGGAUUAGCAGCCGUGGCUAAGUAGUACUCCAUGUACUAGUAUAGUAGCCCGGCUAGGAUUUGUACAUUGUCUAGUACGUGUCGUAGGAGUUUGAGUCUGGUUAGAAGUCCAAGUAGAAGUACUAGUAGGUUUCGGCGUAGCUGGUCGUGGCUUGGCUGUGUCAUAUAUAUACACAGUCAAGGCGUCAGAUUGAAACGUGGUAUUGAGAAAAAGAGAAAAAGAAAUAAAGAUAAGAAGGGGCACGAUACGUGCCCUUGGCCAAAGUUUUUGCGCGUGUGUGUUCAUUGUGAUUUGAUGUGAUCGAUCCUGUGAGCGAGUUCCAACAAUUGGUAUCAGAGCAAGGUUGAUUUGAAGCCGCUCUUGCCCCGGGGUGGCGAUCUGCUAGCUCCUCGGGGCGGGCGAUAUGGUCGUUGGGUGGUGCAGCGACGAGGAAGAGCGGGCGAUGAAGUCGUUGGGUGGUGCAGCGACGAGGAGGAUCACGUGAUCGUCGUUCGGUGGAGCGACAAGGAUGAAGGCGAUAGGCUAUCGUCGGCAAGGUGGUGGAAGGAGGUCGUUGAUGGGAGAGGUGGUGCCGAGGUGCGGCGCUGGAGCUCAUCAAGAUCGUCGUCCGAGGGAUUCGGAUGAGUGAAGGAGUCGUGCGAGAUUGCACGAUCAGUCGUCGUUGCGUCUGUGAGUCAUCGUCGUGUCCAAGUGCUCGUCUUGGUGAUGAUUCGUUGAAGUGGAAGCGGUGUGCAUGAUGUUCCGUGAGUCAUGUCCAUGUCCUCGUGGAGCAUCCUGGUUGUGGCCAGUGUGGAUUCGGUAUGGUGCCGAAGGCGGACGGUGGUAGGCGAAGCCAUCGUAAAGCGAGGAGAUGUGCGAGCAGUGGAGAGUGGAUCUACUGUAAGCAAGUACAAAGAGUAUGGUGCGGACCGAGUGCAAGGCAGCGGCCAAGCAAUGGCGGUGGCACAACAUUGUAGAGCAAGGAGGUUUUGCAUGUUUUCAGGCGGGUCGUACUCAGUGUACGGAUAUGGCAGUUGAAGAUUAAGCUCGGCGUGUAGUGGGAUAGUGACCAGUUAAGUUGAUGACAUGAAGAUUGAUGGUCGUCCAAUAUCGGAAGAAGCGCGAGGAAGGUGACAAGUCAAGAUUAGAAAGAGAUUGUUAGUAUAAUCUUGAUUGUUAGGUUUGGAUAGUAGUGUUUGUGUUAGACUAAGUAUUAGACGUGUAGGAUUAGCAGCCGUGCCUAAGUAGUACUCCUACGUACUAGUAUAGUAGUCCGGCUAGGAUUUGUACAUUGUCUAGUACGUGUCGUAGGAGUUUGAGUCUGGUUAGAAGUUCAAGUAGAAGUACUAGUAGGUUUCGGUGUAGCUGGUCGUGGCUUGGCUGUGUCAUAUAUAUAUACAGUCCAGGCGUCAGAUUG